RNAcentral lists this ribosomal RNA (433 nucleotides) under uncultured bacterium. Its description in RNAcentral is "partial 16S ribosomal RNA". It matches the Rfam family "Bacterial small subunit ribosomal RNA", at positions 29 to 507 of the family's 1533-position model. The record is from RNAcentral.
AACGAACGCUGGCGGCAGGCCUAACACAUGCAAGUCGAACGAAGUCUUCGGACUUAGUGGCGCACGGGUGAGUAACACGUGGGAAUAUACCUUACGCUGGGGGAUAACAUCGGGAAACUGAUGCUAAUACCGCAUACGCCCUUCGGGGGAAAGAUUUAUCGGCGAAAGAUUAGCCCGCGUCCGAUUAGCUAGUUGGUGAGGUAAUGGCUCACCAAGGCUCCGAUCGGUAGCUGGUCUGAGAGGAUGACCAGCCACACUGGGACUGAGACACGGCCCAGACUCCUACGGGAGGCAGCAGUGGGGAAUAUUGGACAAUGGGCGCAAGCCUGAUCCAGCCAUGCCGCGUGAGUGAUGAAGGCCUUAGGGUUGUAAAGCUCUUUCACCCACGACGAUGAUGGCGGUAGUGGGAGAAGAAGCCCCGGCUAACUUCGUG